GUCUCCGGCCAUGCCACCCUGAACUUGCCCGAUCUCGUGUGAUCUCGGAAGCUAAGCAGGGUUGGGCCUGGUUUGUACUUGGAUGGGAGACCACCUAAAAAGACCAGGUGCUGUAAGUG
Molecule: ribosomal RNA, 119 nt
Filed under: Pteropus alecto (black flying fox)
Lineage: Eukaryota; Metazoa; Chordata; Mammalia; Chiroptera; Pteropodidae
Source: RNAcentral